UAUGAAGUCGGAAUUGCUAGUAAUCGCAGAUCAGCAUGCUGCGGUGAAUACGUUCCCGGGCCUUGUACACACCGCCCGUCACACCAUGGGAGCCGGUAAUACCCGAAGUCAGUAGUCUAACCGCAAGGGGGACGCUGCCGAAGGUAGGAUUGGCGACUGGGGUGAAGUCGUAACAAGGUACC
Molecule: ribosomal RNA, 182 nt
Filed under: uncultured bacterium
Lineage: Bacteria
Description: partial 16S ribosomal RNA
Rfam family: Bacterial small subunit ribosomal RNA
Source: RNAcentral